This 450-nucleotide ribosomal RNA is filed under the name uncultured bacterium. Its description in RNAcentral is "partial 16S ribosomal RNA". It matches the Rfam family "Bacterial small subunit ribosomal RNA", at positions 354 to 796 of the family's 1533-position model. The record is from RNAcentral.
GUGGGGAAUCUUCCGCAAUGGACGAAAGUCUGACGGAGCAACGCCGCGUGAGUGAAGAAGGUUUUCGGAUCGUAAAGCUCUUUCGUUAGGGACGAACGUGCUCUUUGUGAAUAAUGAGGAGUAAUGACGGUACCUAAAUAAGAAGCCACGGCUAACUACGUGCCAGCAGCCGCGGUAAUACGUAGGUGGCAAGCGUUGUCCGGAAUUAUUGGGCGUAAAGCGCGCGCAGGCGGGAUAUCAAGUCUGUCUUAAAAGUGCGAGGCUCAACCUCGUGAGGGGACAGAAACUGGUAUUCUUGAGUGUCGGAGAGGAAAGUGGAAUUCCUAGUGUAGCGGUGAAAUGCGUAGAUAUUAGGAGGAACACCAGUGGCGAAGGCGACUUUCUGGACUGUAACUGACGCUGAGGCUCGAAAGCCAGGGGAGCGAACGGGAUUAGAUACCCCAGUAGUCC